GUCAUGUGCAUUCAGUCAAUCAUCAUUUUGACAAGAUCAAUAGGCCUACUGGAUAUUGCUGCUGAGAGGAGCAACUCCUGCAGCGAAAAAUGCGAGUGUCAUCACUUUCAUGGGAAGGCAUGGUGACAGAAGGUGGGAAUCUGGAUCUGACGGCCGGGCCUGCCUCACUGCCACAACACAGCGUGAAGCAUCCUUGUUAGGUGCCUGAACUGCUCCUGCUCGGCUUCCCCCGUGCCCACAAUUGAGGAAGAGAGGAAUCUGUUAGUGCCUGAUCCAACGAGCCACAUCUGCCAAGAGAGACAGUGCAAAGCAAGACAGUUGGUGUCUUACCAGACUGGGCGGUUCUAUAUGCCCUCACCCACAGCUCCCUUGUGUGUCUGCCAUGACUCUGCAUGUGUUUGACUAUGCAUCUGCAAAAAAAAAAGGAAAAAAGGUGAAACUAGCCAGGGUUGUCUCAUAUGCCAGAGGCCCUGACACACUGCACUACUGUGCAGAGA
Long non-coding RNA from Micropterus dolomieu (smallmouth bass), 497 nucleotides. RefSeq lists it as uncharacterized. NCBI's taxonomy places the organism in Eukaryota, Metazoa, Chordata, Actinopteri, Centrarchiformes, Centrarchidae. The transcript has 3 exons. The record is from RefSeq and is a predicted model, not a curated record.